ACGGGGCUCCCGCUAUGACAGGCGAGCGCAAAGGAAUGGCAUCUAUGGUGUGCGCCAAGGUGCCAGAGAGUGGAGGCGAGGCUGUAAAAUUGCACUGUAUCAUCCACCAAGAAGCUCUCUGUGCCAAGACAGUCCAGCUUGGCGAUGUGAUGACCACAGUUGUGAAAACUGUCAACAUAAUUCGAGCACGAGGGCUCUACCACAGAGAAUUAAGCUUUCCUAUCUGAUGUCGAUGCUGAAUACGGGGACGUACUCUAUCAUUGUGACGUGCGCUGGCUUAGUUGCGGCUCCGUGCUGAAGCGGUUUUAUUCCCUUAUUGCCUUUCUAGUUGAUCUUACUGGUCAUCUGAACUCACUGAACAAGAGCCUACAAGGCAAAGACCAGCUUGUACCACAACUUUCUGUGCGAAGCUUCGUCUUUUUGAGACACAACUACGCAACUGCAACCUUGCGCACUUCCCUACGCUGUCCGAAAUCAAACGUGCUCAUCCAAAGGCCGACCUCUCUGCUAAAAAGGGGAAAUAUGUUUCUGUGAUCACAACUCUUAUGACACAAUUCAAUCAGCGCUUCCAAGAUGUUUCUGUCAUUGAGAAAGAAAUCAAGCUGUUCUCAACUCCCUUCCUGCUGGAUGCAGAAGAAGUGGAAGAGAGUCUGCAAUUAGAACUCAUCGAGAUGCAGCUCCUCUCCCUACCCGACUUCUACCGGAGCUUGGAAAAGGCCAAGUUUCCUCUGAUGCGACGCCACGCAAAAAGAAUGACCAGUCUGUUUGGCACAACAUACAUAUGCGAGCAAACAUUUUCUCUGUGAACUCUGAACAAAAGCAGAUUGAGAACCAAAAUGAGCGACAGCCAUCUCUGUGAUGUCCUUCACAUCUCAACCAGCAAACUUACUCGUGACCUGCCAGCCGUCCUUCAGUCCAGAGCAGCAUCACUGCUCCCAUUAAGUGCAACACUGUUCCCAUUGUAGGCGAGUUCAAAUAGAUUACACAGUAUUCAUGUGUUCAAAAGCCCAAUUACUUAAUAAAUGCAGUCAAUUAAAGUUGAUAACAUUUUCUAAAACACGUUAGCUGAUAAAUGAUUUGCAUAAGUAGGUUAAAUAAAGCCUUCCCUCUUUAUACAGGGCUGUGAAGGGGGUCCCCAUCCUGACGAAGAAGCAAUCUGAGGAUGAGCUGCCAACCCUUUUUGUAAAAAAAAUGAAAACCCAUUAAUGGAGAGAUGUGAUUUAUGCAGUUUUUUUUCUUUAAGUUUAUUCAAUUAUCAAGCAUAAUUUACCUACAUUUGAUUGAUUUUAUUUGAAAAUAGAUAAAUGAAAACCCAUACAUAGAAAGAUGUGAUGUAUGCAGUUUUUUCUGUCAGUAUAAUAAAUUAUCAAGCAUAAUUUACCUACAUUUGAUUGAUUGAUAUUACUGUUAAUACACUAGAGGUGAUAUACCUUAACUUUAGUGAGCGGCUCAACCUUUCGCAUAUUUUUCUGUUUCUGGCCCUCAGUGAAAAAAGUUUGGACCCCCCUGCUUUAAUACGUGGAACACUUCCUGCAUUUCGCUCUCGCUCGCCCCUCGCGUCCAGUAGUCGUAUUACACUGUUUAACGUUCCCGUCUUCCUCGGUGGUUUGAUUUAACGGUCUCACUUCCCCCCCGCUGCUCUCGCUCGCCCCCUAGUGUGAUAACCGGCACUCCGCUUGUUGUUGCGCGCAACCGCACCGCCGUCCUUCCCUGCACCCCCCUCGUCUCCCCCCUCUCUCUC
Molecule: long non-coding RNA, 1741 nt
Organism: Gasterosteus aculeatus aculeatus (three-spined stickleback)
Lineage: Eukaryota; Metazoa; Chordata; Actinopteri; Perciformes; Gasterosteidae
Source: Ensembl